RNAcentral lists this long non-coding RNA (1738 nucleotides) under Gossypium barbadense (sea-island cotton). Its description in RNAcentral is "long non-coding RNA (GBAR_LNC014005)". The record is from RNAcentral. Lineage: Eukaryota; Viridiplantae; Streptophyta; Magnoliopsida; Malvales; Malvaceae.
CUAAAUUCAAAUAAAUAUAGUUCAUACUAGAGGUGUCCAUGGGCCGGGCCCAUAAAAAUUCUAAUCCGUUUUUCAAGCCCGGGCCUGGCCCGAAAUAUGGGCAUGAGAUUUUACCCAGGCCCGGCCCGGGAAAAAUAUGGGGCCCGAGCCCGGCCCGGCCCGUUUUGCAUUGAAAUUAAAAUUAUUUUUUUAAUAAAAUUAAAACUAAUUAAAAUCUAGCACAUUUACCACUUAAUUAUUUGAUUGAAUCAUACAUUAACAGAAAGCUAAUUGACAAAUUUCAUAUAAACUUUUAUUAUAGAUUAACAGACAGAAAUGGAAGGGAUUACAUGACUUAACCAACUAUUCCUCAGGAAUUACAUGACUUAACCAACUAUUCCCCAGGAAUUACAUAAAGCACUACAAGAUGAAUCACUCAAGCACACUAUAAUAAUCCAUAAACAUAAUCUUUAAGAGCUAUGCAAAAUCUUAUAGCAUGCUAAUUAUACCUAAAAACAUGUUUACAACAUAAUCAACUUCCAAGACCUAUCCACGAAUCAACAGCAACAUGAUUUUUCAUUUUGCAUUUCAGUAAACAUCAUCAAUCACUUAUUUUUCUUCUCUUUUGCCUUCGAACUUUUACCCAUUUUUUUAGCUUCAAAUUCAUCACCAAAAUAAUAAAUUAAGCAACAAUAAAAAUAAAUUUCAAAUAUAUUGAAAUGAUGCAAUUUGAUAGAAACAAACAGAGCAUUGGCACAUGUUAUCUGCAUAUGUUACCCUAUUUAAAGGAAUAAACUAAACCCAAUUUGCAAUUCAAAAGGCCAAAAAGCUAACCUCUAACGUGAAUUCAAUCUGUAAUUAAUUUCUCAAAACUUGCUUUAUCUAAUUUAACAUUCUUAUAUGUCGAUGUGGUAUAGUUCUAGAAUAGUCAACAUUGGUUAACAUUCAGUAAAAGGAUGCUCCAAAUGAAGUGUGUGUAACUUCAGUAGAAAGAAGUUGAAAGAAAACUGCAAUUAGAAAUGAAGUAAGAAUGUUAAAUUAAGUAAACAAAACACAUCAUGCCUGUAUGUUUUGUAACUAAAAUUAAGCGAAUCAUCUUGAGAGGUAAAAGAGUGGGUAAUCUGCAGAAAGUGGGAACUUAGCAUUAUCUACUCUUGAUUUCAGUCUGCAUUUCAGGUUAUUGCUGUUUUGAUGCAUAAAUUCAUUGAAAGAACAAUUGUUUUUAAUAAAGAGAAUGAAAACGAGGAAACCGAAGAAGAUGAGCAAACCCGUACCUGUAACAAACCGACCGGAGGUGGAUCGGUGAAUGUCUUGACGGUGGAGGUGGAUCGGUAUUGGAAGACUCUGUCGAUUUUGGAAAUGGAAAAAAAAUGGAGGAAGGCACAGCCGUACAGCACAAUAGAUAGGGUUAGGGAUUUUGUCUCUGUCAGUGUAAGGAAAUGAAAGUAAAUGAAAAACUUUUAUAUUUUAAAAAUAAAAAAAUACAUAUUUAAUAUAUUUUUGGGCUGGGCCGGGCCCGGGCCAAAAAAAUUUUGCCCGAGGCCCGGCCCAUUUUUUAAACGGGCCUAAAAUUUUGCCCAAGCCCAUAUUUCGGGCCUAUAUUUUUACCCAAACCCUCCCAUAUUUCGGGCGGGCCGUCGGGCUGGGCCGCCCGGCCCAUGGACAAGUCUAGUUCAUACUAACAGUCAUCACCAUCUGCAAGAGAUAACCUCUAAAACUGAGUUUCCAUCAUUGGGCGAACUACACUAGGAUCUCAAAG